This 719-nucleotide ribosomal RNA is filed under the name Streptomyces sp. RNAcentral describes it as "bacterial SSU rRNA". It matches the Rfam family "Bacterial small subunit ribosomal RNA", at positions 56 to 792 of the family's 1533-position model. The record is from RNAcentral. Lineage: Bacteria; Bacillati; Actinomycetota; Actinomycetes; Kitasatosporales; Streptomycetaceae.
UGCAGUCGACGAUGAACCUCCUUCGGGAGGGGAUUAGUGGCGAACGGGUGAGUAACACGUGGGCAAUCUGCCCUGCACUCUGGGACAAGCCCUGGAAACGGGGUCUAAUACCGGAUAUGACUCGGGAGGGCAUCCUUCCGGGUGGAAAGCUCCGGCGGUGCAGGAUGAGCCCGCGGCCUAUCAGCUUGUUGGUGGGGUGAUGGCCUACCAAGGCGACGACGGGUAGCCGGCCUGAGAGGGCGACCGGCCACACUGGGACUGAGACACGGCCCAGACUCCUACGGGAGGCAGCAGUGGGGAAUAUUGCACAAUGGGCGAAAGCCUGAUGCAGCGACGCCGCGUGAGGGAUGACGGCCUUCGGGUUGUAAACCUCUUUCAGCAGGGAAGAAGCGCAAGUGACGGUACCUGCAGAAGAAGCGCCGGCUAACUACGUGCCAGCAGCCGCGGUAAUACGUAGGGCGCAAGCGUUGUCCGGAAUUAUUGGGCGUAAAGAGCUCGUAGGCGGCUUGUCGCGUCGGAUGUGAAAGCUCGGGGCUUAACCCCGGGUCUGCAUUCGAUACGGGCAGGCUAGAGUGUGGUAGGGGAGAUCGGAAUUCCUGGUGUAGCGGUGAAAUGCGCAGAUAUCAGGAGGAACACCGGUGGCGAAGGCGGAUCUCUGGGCCAUUACUGACGCUGAGGAGCGAAAGCGUGGGGAGCGAACAGGAUUAGAUACCCUGGUA